AUGCUUGGGCAGCCAGGGCUCCAGGAUCGGGUGAGGGCGAGCACCCAGCAAUGUGGAGGCACUGCAGGAAGGACGCACCUUUCACCCAUCUGGCAGAAGAGGUGGCAGACGGUCCCCAGAUUCUUCAGCUGGUGCUGCUUUCUUCUCUCCUUCAAGCUGCUCUGCUUUACCCGGGCUAUUCACAGCUUGCACUUUACUAAGCUUCUGCUUUUCCCUACGUUACACAUUACAUUUCUGAAGCAUAUGAUGAAUGGGAUGCUGUGCAGCUGA
Molecule: long non-coding RNA, 270 nt
Filed under: Numida meleagris (helmeted guineafowl)
Lineage: Eukaryota; Metazoa; Chordata; Aves; Galliformes; Numididae
Description: lncRNA (ENSNMEG00000005779.1)
Source: RNAcentral